RNAcentral lists this ribosomal RNA (328 nucleotides) under uncultured eukaryote. RNAcentral's name for it is "partial 18S ribosomal RNA". It matches the Rfam family "Eukaryotic small subunit ribosomal RNA", at positions 1470 to 1796 of the family's 1831-position model. The record is from RNAcentral.
CCCUUAGACGUUCUGGGCCGCACGCGCGCUACACUGACGAAGGCAACGAGCUUUCCUUUACCGAAAGGUACGGGUAAUCUUUUGAAACUUCGUCGUGCUGGGGAUAGAUCCUUGCAAUUUUUGAUCUUAAACGAGGAAUGCCUAGUAAGCGCAAGUCAUCAACUUGCGUUGAUUACGUCCCUGCCCUUUGUACACACCGCCCGUCGCUACUACCGAUUGAAUGGUUUAGUGAGAUCUCUGGAUUGACGCUGGCUAGGGGGCGACCCUUGGCCAGACUGUUGAGAAACUGCUCAAACUUGAUCAUUUAGAGGAAGUAAAAGUCGUAACA